CAGAACGAACGCUGGCGGCGCGUCUUAAGCAUGCAAGUCGAGCGGCAGGGUGCAGCAAUGCAUCCGAGAGCGGCGGACUGGUGAGUAACGCGUGGGUGACCUACCUCUGGGUUGGGGAUAGCCAUUAGAAAUAGUGGGUAAUACCGAAUGUGGUUACGAGGCUAUGGUCUUGUAAAGAAAGGAGCCAAGGCUCCGCCCGGGGAUGGGCCCGCGUCCCAUUAGCUAGUUGGAGGGGUAAGAGCCUGCCAAGGCGAUGAUGGGUAGCCGGCCUGAGAGGGUGAACGGCCACACUGGGACUGAGAUACGGCCCAGACUCCUACGGGAGGCAGCAGCUAAGAAUAUUCCGCAAUGGCCGAAAGGCUGACGGAGCGACGCCGCGUGGAUGAGGAAGGCCGAAAGGUUGUAAAGUUCUUUUGUUGCUGAAGAAUAAGGGCGGGAGGGAAUGCCCGUCUGAUGACGUAAGCGACGAAUAAGCCCC
RNAcentral lists this ribosomal RNA (478 nucleotides) under uncultured Treponema sp. RNAcentral's name for it is "bacterial SSU rRNA". It matches the Rfam family "Bacterial small subunit ribosomal RNA", at positions 25 to 494 of the family's 1533-position model. The record is from RNAcentral. Lineage: Bacteria; Pseudomonadati; Spirochaetota; Spirochaetia; Treponematales; Treponemataceae.